Molecule: transfer RNA, 85 nt
Filed under: Gorillibacterium timonense
Lineage: Bacteria; Bacillati; Bacillota; Bacilli; Caryophanales; Paenibacillaceae
Rfam family: tRNA
About the family: Transfer RNA (tRNA) molecules are approximately 80 nucleotides in length. Their secondary structure includes four short double-helical elements and three loops (D, anti-codon, and T loops).
Source: RNAcentral
GAGAGGUGGUCGAGUGGUUUAUGGCAGCGGUCUUGAAAACCGUCGUACCUGCGAGGGUACCGUGGGUUCGAAUCCCACCCUCUCC